CAAUGAAGUUGUAAAAAAAGAAAAUAACCUGAGAUUAUGUCCUAAUAAUCUCGGUGAUAGGCACCUCAAUUUUAGCACACCUGCAGGAAUCAUCCCUGUCAUUCAUAUUUUUUGGGGUUUCAAUAUUGAGUCGGUUGAAGUGUAUCAAACUUCUUUAUCUGAAUUGUUGAACUGGGUCUACAGCUUUAAAGAUUAUAAAACCUUUUCCCGUGCGUUCAAAUUACUCAGCCCUUUGUCAAGCGAUAUAGUUAAUGUUGAUAGAUUUAUGAAAAGUCAGAAAUCUUUUCAUGGAGAAGAGAGUCCGAAAAAAAUUUUACAAGACAUUUGAACCUGCACGUUGUUGCAAGACAGUGGUUGGGCGACUGAAUUACAAGGGAUAUCUAUGAAUCUAUUUUUCAUUGUGAUUCAAUAAUGAAUUUUCAACCUUAAAUUAAAGACAUUCUGAAGUCUUUCGGUAACUGAAGACCGUCAUUCUCACAACUUGCGUAAGCUUUAAAUAUUUAUGACAUCAAUGUUCUGUUUUUGCCGACUGCUUAGCAAUAUCAAAAUUAUAAAACAUUCAUUUGCGGAUUAGAACGCGCAAAUUACAAGAGGGGUGAUUUUUUUAUAAUUAAAUGUCAAAAAUCCGUCAAUAGUUGUGAAUUAAAUAAUCAAAAAAGUGACGUUCAACGUGUGUGAAUCAGAGACAACUGCAACAACUCCUAAAAGUACUAUAAUAGCAAUGCCUACAGACAGAGCGGACAUAGGGUCAUCCGAGCAUAUUUCGAUUCAACAUGAGUCAUCGCGUGCAAAAAAAAAAAAGAAAAAUUAAAUAAGAAAAGCAAUGUAUCUAUUCUUAUUGGAGUUUCAGAAAGUCUUAGAGUCCAGCUACUUUAGUAUUAUUAUUGUAUAAAGUAGAUUUCCGUAAUGCCGGAGCAGUUGAAGAAUGCGCAAGUUUUGAAAUGAGUGACGUGCAGGCUGACGCUAGACGUAAUGAAGCUCAUGAAACAGUGGACAGAAUACGAUUCGCUUGAAGAAAUGAAAAAAAAAAAGUGAUAUUAGUUUUUUUUUUUUAUUUUUCUAGUUAAACAAACGGUAUAUUAAAAGAGAAUUAAACCGAAUUUGAAGUAGACUGAAUCGUCAGACAAACAAAAGAAGAG
Molecule: long non-coding RNA, 1139 nt
Organism: Hylaeus volcanicus
Lineage: Eukaryota; Metazoa; Arthropoda; Insecta; Hymenoptera; Colletidae
Exons: 3
Source: RefSeq, a predicted model, not a curated record